RNAcentral lists this ribosomal RNA (468 nucleotides) under uncultured bacterium. RNAcentral's name for it is "partial 16S ribosomal RNA". It matches the Rfam family "Bacterial small subunit ribosomal RNA", at positions 28 to 507 of the family's 1533-position model. The record is from RNAcentral.
GACGAACGCUGGCGGCGUGCUUAACACAUGCAAGUCGAACGGAAAGGCCCUGCUUUUGUGGGGUGCUCGAGUGGCGAACGGGUGAGUAACACGUGAGUAACCUGCCCUUGACUUUGGGAUAACUUCAGGAAACUGGGGCUAAUACCGGAUAGGAGCUCCUGCUGCAUGGUGGGGGUUGGAAAGUUUCGGCGGUUGGGGAUGGACUCGCGGCUUAUCAGCUUGUUGGUGGGGUAGUGGCUUACCAAGGCUUUGACGGGUAGCCGGCCUGAGAGGGUGACCGGCCACAUUGGGACUGAGAUACGGCCCAGACUCCUACGGGAGGCAGCGGUGGGGAAUAUUGCACAAUGGGCGGAAGCCUGAUGCAGCAACGCCGCGUGCGGGAUGACGGCCUUCGGGUUGUAAACCACUUUCGCCUGUGACGAAGCGUGAGUGACGGUAAUGGGUAAAGAAGCACCGGCUAACUACGUG